AGCCCAAACCAGAGAGCUUGCUCUCUGGGGUUGUGGGACGUCUCACAUGGAGUUACAAAGGAACCGGUUAAACGAAGAGGUCUGGAAAGGCCCGCCAAAGAAGGUAAAAGCCCUGUAAUUAAAAGCCCGUUCCCUCCGAGACGGAUCCCGAGUAGUGCGGGGCACGUGAAACCCCGUAUGAAUCCGGCAGGACCAUCUGCCAAGGCUAAAUACUUCCUAGCGACCGAUAGUGAAGCAGUACCGUGAGGGAAAGGUGAAAAGCACCCCGG
RNAcentral lists this ribosomal RNA (269 nucleotides) under Paenibacillus xylanilyticus. RNAcentral describes it as "partial 23S ribosomal RNA". It matches the Rfam family "Bacterial large subunit ribosomal RNA", at positions 266 to 529 of the family's 2925-position model. The record is from RNAcentral. Lineage: Bacteria; Bacillati; Bacillota; Bacilli; Caryophanales; Paenibacillaceae.